RNAcentral lists this ribosomal RNA (119 nucleotides) under Triticum dicoccoides. The record is from RNAcentral. Lineage: Eukaryota; Viridiplantae; Streptophyta; Magnoliopsida; Poales; Poaceae.
GGAUGAGAUCAUACCAGCACUAAAGCACCGUAUCCCAUCAGAACUCCGAAGUUAAGCGUGCAUGGGCGAGAGUAGUACUAGGAUGGGUGACCUCCUGGGAAGUCCUCGUGUUGCAUUCC